AGCAGCCGCGGUAAUUCCAGCUCCAAUAGCGUAUAUUAAAGUUGUUGCAGUUAAAAAGCUCGUAGUUGAAUUUCGGAGUUUGUCGGUUGGUCGGGCUUCACUGUCCGCACUGACCUGAUGGACUCCUACCUUCUGAAUAACCAGCAUGCUAUUAAGUUAGUGCGUUGGGGAAGCAGAGCUAUUACCUUGAAAAAUUGAGUGCUUAAAGCAGGCUUACGCUUGAAUAGAUUAGCAUGGAAUAAUAAAAUAGGACGGCAUGGUUCUAUUUUGUUGGUUUCUAGGAUCACCGUGAUGAUUAAUAGGGAUAGUUGGGGCAUUAGUAUUCAAUUGUCAGAGGUGAAA
Molecule: ribosomal RNA, 342 nt
Filed under: uncultured Acaulospora
Lineage: Eukaryota; Fungi; Glomeromycota; Glomeromycetes; Diversisporales; Acaulosporaceae
Description: SSU rRNA
Rfam family: Eukaryotic small subunit ribosomal RNA
Source: RNAcentral